Molecule: ribosomal RNA, 253 nt
Filed under: uncultured bacterium
Lineage: Bacteria
Description: partial 16S ribosomal RNA
Rfam family: Bacterial small subunit ribosomal RNA
Source: RNAcentral
UACAGAGGGUGCAAGCGUUGUUCGGAAUUAUUGGGCGUAAAGCGCGUGUAGGCGGCUUUGCAAGUCGGGUGUGAAAGCCCUCAGCUCAACUGAGGAAGUGCGCCCGAAACUGCAGAGCUUGAGUGCCGGAGAGGGUGGCGGAAUUCCCCAAGUAGAGGCGAAAUUCGUAGAUAUGGGGAGGAACACCGGUGGCGAAGGCGGCCACCUGGACGGUAACUGACGCUGAGACGCGAAAGCGUGGGGAGCAAACAGG